CAGGGGGACGAGGCCGUCAGCACCCUGAGCUGGACGGGGAGCGCUGAUGGAGGCCAUCAGAUCUUUUGCCUCGGUUCCAACCUCCACGGGUUCUAUAUUUUACCGCUGAGCCCACUGGAAACAGGUGGCCUCACUCGGGCAUUGAUCGAAAUCAGCUGCAAACUCGUCUUCGUGGCGACUGGAUUCUUCCUCGCCUAUUACCUCACCCUGCUCUAUUACAGAUGGACACUCUGCUGCUGUCGUGGAAGCAGAAGGAAGGACAGGCCGGGGGACAGGGAAUCCACGGUGCCCGAGUCCGGCGUGUAGAUCAGGCCGUUCCUCAGCCACCGAAGAGCCAACAAGGAAUUAGAAACUCAUGGGACUGAGGAAAGAGAGAAUGAGACCUCAGCUGGGGGAACGGCCACCCCGGGUGAGGCCAAUGGGCCCUGUUUCCUCCCACACUGUUUAAUUUGUAUUGAAAGAGAUGCCAGAGCUCAGCUGUGACUCAAAUUAAGCCCCGGCAGGGCGGCCUGAUACUGGCGGGGGCUGGCCGGGCACCCAGCCCUGAAGGCAGCGCCACCGCCAGCAGCAGCGCAGAAGUCAGGGGGGCCUGGCACAUGGGGUGUUGCCACCCUCCUGCGCUGCUGCUGGGGCUUGUGGUGCCUGGUGCUCAGCAUGUGGCUCAAGGCUUCGCACUGCCACACGUGGGCUGCAUCUCGCCAGAGCCCACGGCCUCCUGCAGCCCCCUGGCCACUCCUGGCUCACCCCGGGGGGGGGCACCAGUUCAGAUUUGGGGCGGGGGGAGGAAACUUUAGCCAUGAUUCCAGGGACUACUUGUGCACCUGAAAACUCUCGGGGCUUUGAAGAUAAUAACGUAGGGAUUAGCUGACAGGAGCACUGUAUCUAAUUGUUAUAUAAAGAAAGAAAAUAUAUAUACAAACGCCCAUUAAAGCCACGUUUAAAUCUUAUAUGUAAAUUUAGAAGAAUCAGGAGAUAAUACAGCAAGAUAUUCCCAAUCCCAAGCCUUGAGGUAUCAGUUCUCAAGCUUUAAUGCAGCUAUCAGAAACACACGUAUGAGACUUCGCACACAAUCUUUAGUAGAGAUAAAUAAAAAUAAAUAUCGUCUUACUUUCUCUAAGAGACAGUGUGUUUCUGCCAUUGUCUCCUCUAUUUUAGUCAAUUAUUUUUCACGAAAAACAUAAUUUUAACAUAUGUGACUAAAGUUUUGUUUUCUCUUUUAUUAAGAAAGGGAAUUAAUGUUUCUAAUUCUUUUGGCAUUUGUGUUUACCUUCCACAAUCCUGUAUUUGUAUGUGACUCACUAACAUUUGACUCCAUCAUUGCUAUUGGUCUCACAGUGGGAACUGCAGUUAUUUUCAUGCACAUGUUAAGUUAAUUUACAGAUAUAACUAAAAAUACAAUUUGAAAAUAAGCAACUUUCAUCUGCGCAGUGGCUAUAGUUCUGUGUUUAGCUAAUGUUUUUAAGCUGGAAUUACUAAAGUGAGUACAAGCUACAGUUCCAUUCUAGGCGAAUACAUUUAUUUGAUUGUAACACUUUACACAAUGAAUAACAAACAAAGCACAAUAUGAUAACAACAAUAAUAAUGCUAAUUACUCCAGCCAGGACAGGUUAGGCAGUUUAGAACUCACUACUCAAAAGUAUUCAAUGUA
Long non-coding RNA from Mauremys reevesii (Reeves's turtle), 1648 nucleotides. RefSeq lists it as uncharacterized. NCBI's taxonomy places the organism in Eukaryota, Metazoa, Chordata, Testudines, Geoemydidae. The record is from RefSeq and is a predicted model, not a curated record. The transcript is spliced from 3 exons.